GGGGAUGUAGCUCAAUUGGUAGAGCACUAUAUAUUGCAUGCUAGAGGAUCAGACUCAAUUCCUCACAUCUCCA
RNAcentral lists this transfer RNA (73 nucleotides) under Setaria italica (foxtail millet). It matches the Rfam family "tRNA". Rfam says of the family: Transfer RNA (tRNA) molecules are approximately 80 nucleotides in length. The record is from Rfam by way of RNAcentral. Lineage: Eukaryota; Viridiplantae; Streptophyta; Magnoliopsida; Poales; Poaceae.